RNAcentral lists this transfer RNA (58 nucleotides) under Mus musculus (house mouse). It matches the Rfam family "tRNA", at positions 8 to 63 of the family's 71-position model. Rfam says of the family: Transfer RNA (tRNA) molecules are approximately 80 nucleotides in length. The record is from Rfam by way of RNAcentral. Lineage: Eukaryota; Metazoa; Chordata; Mammalia; Rodentia; Muridae.
UGGCUCAGUGGUUAAGAGCACUGGUUGUUCUUCCAGAGGUUCUGAGUUCAAUUCUCAG